GACGAACGCUGGCGGCGUGCUUAACACAUGCAAGUCGAGCGGUAAGGCCCUUUCGGGGGUACGACGAGCGGCGAACGGGUGAGUAACACGUGGGUGACCUGCCCUUAGCUCUGGGAUAAGCCUGGGAAACUGGGUCUAAUACCGGAUAUGACUCCAUGACGCAUGUUGUGGGGUGGAAAGCCUUGUGCGGCUAGGGAUGGGCCCGCGGCCUAUCAGCUUGUUGGUGGGGUGAUGGCCUACCAAGGCGACGACGGGUAGCCGGCCUGAGAGGGCGACCGGCCACACUGGGACUGAGACACGGCCCAGACUCCUACGGGAGGCAGCAGUGGGGAAGUCUUGCGCAAUGGGCGAAAGCCUGACGCAGCGACGCCGCGUGAGGGAUGACGGCCU
RNAcentral lists this ribosomal RNA (390 nucleotides) under uncultured bacterium. RNAcentral's name for it is "bacterial SSU rRNA". It matches the Rfam family "Bacterial small subunit ribosomal RNA", at positions 28 to 417 of the family's 1533-position model. The record is from RNAcentral.